This 67-nucleotide transfer RNA is filed under the name Marmota monax (woodchuck). RNAcentral describes it as "tRNA.Ser". The record is from RNAcentral. Lineage: Eukaryota; Metazoa; Chordata; Mammalia; Rodentia; Sciuridae.
GGUUGUAGUUCAGUGGUAGAGCACUUGAUUAGAAUAUGUGAGGCUCUGGGUUCAAUACCCAGCACCA